RNAcentral lists this ribosomal RNA (252 nucleotides) under uncultured bacterium. Its description in RNAcentral is "partial 16S ribosomal RNA". It matches the Rfam family "Bacterial small subunit ribosomal RNA", at positions 524 to 776 of the family's 1533-position model. The record is from RNAcentral.
UACGGAGGAUGCGAGCGUUAUCCGGAUUUAUUGGGUUUAAAGGGUGCGUAGGCGGAUCGUUAAGUCAGUGGUCAAAUUGAGGGGCUCAACCCCUUCCCGCCAUUGAAACUGGCGAUCUUGAGUGGAAGAGAAGUAUGCGGAAUGCGUGGUGUAGCGGUGAACUGCAUAGAUAUCACGCAGAACCCCGAUUGCGAAGGCAGCAUGCCGGCUUCCUACUGACGCUGAAGCACGAAAGCGUGGGGAUCGAACAGG